AAUUGCUCCUAUUCCACGUUUUGCAUUAUCUCCUCACUUUUUGAAGAGGAAAAAACUGAAAUUGGUAAAAGCCUAAAGGUAAGAAACUUAUUCUGAUUUUUUUUGCAAUACUUAUCAGUAUAACAUUAUAAAGCAAUAAGAUUUUUGCCACAUGUUAAGCAUCCACAAUUUAGAUUUGAAAUUUUAGUCAUCUAUAUUUGGUGACCAUUGGUGAAAAAGGCAACAAAGAAACAAAAGAAAGAAACAAAGUAAAGCAAGUACAGUAUAUUACAAAGAAAAGACUACAAGUGAGGGAAAUAAAAGGAAAACAAAAAAAAAAAAAGAAUCUCCAAGAUACGAAACAAGGUUUUUAGGGAAUUAUGGAGCAAAUCAGAAAUCGCAUCUUUUCUCUACAAGUAAUUUCCAAAAAUUUGAUAAUUGGGGAUUUCUCAAUUGGGUAUAUAAAUCCCUAAUUUCUACCGCAAGAAGACAUGCAAGCAUUGUCUGAUUUUGGGUAAAGAGAGACAAGGGAGUAUUGUGAGUAAUACAGAAGUCUUGGGGUAUAAUUGGAGUAGGAGACGACAGAUUCAAGAACGAGUUGCCGGCAGAAUUUCGACUAGUACAAAGUGAUAUAUUCUCCUCUCUUCUCUUCUAUUACUUUCAUUGGUGUAUUGUUCUAAAUUUAAUGAACUUGAAUCUUGUUUAAACUUGAAUUUUAUCAUAAUUUUGAGUUGUUUAUUGAGUAUUAAAAUUAUUUGGUAUUCAAAAUUACACUGUUAUAGAUGCCGUAUGAUUGAUAUUUGUGUAUAAUUUGCUAUCUUAUUAUGUUUGAAUUACAAUCAGUUGCUAAUUAUGUAGUUUGGCCUAGUUUAAAUUGCAUAAUCAAAGUAGCGACUAAUGUUAGUUUUUUUUUUUUUUUUUUUUUUUUUUUUUUUUUUUUUUUUGAGAGGAGACUAAUGUUAGUUUGGGUCUGCGAAUGGGUCAGAUUAAAUUUUAGGAUAUAAUUUGAUCUAAUUAUAUUAAGUACCUAUGUAUUAAUUUAGUUAGGAUUAACGAUGUUCUUCUAGUUUAGAAUUAGUGUCGGCCUAGUUUAAUACUAAUAUAAAGUAAGGAAGAAUAGGGUGGGAUUGCUAUCAAAACCACUAUAGUUAAUCUAUUAGAUUAAUCUUCAACUCGAUAAUUAUACUCAAUAUUAUGACCAAAGUUACUAAGUUUAAUGGUGGAAAUUACCGGACUUGCUUAUCAUCACUUGUAAAUAAUAGUUUAAUACUUGUUUUAGUUCAGUUACUAUUAGUUACUACAAUCUUAAACCCCCCAAAGCUAAGUAAAUAGGUAAAUAGUUGUAUAAUCUCGAUUUUAUAUAUGUUAAUAAUAUUUUUCUCAGUUAAACUUUGAAGUAAGGAAUUUAGUAGUCUCUCCGUGGGAUCGACCCUUUCUUACUCUUUUCUACUUGUUAAUAUUUUUGAGGUCUAAGAAUAGUUUUUUUAAUUUUAUACGGUAAAUGACACGUAUUAAAUUUUGGCGUCGUUGCUGGGAAGAUUUAUAAUAUUCUCUUCUUCAUAGUUAAAUUGAGUUGCUAUAUUUCUGUUCUUAAUUUUCUUAUCUAGUUAUGACAAAAAAAAAUCUUUGCUAUCUUGGUUUGUCUAAUCUAGUUGGGUGAGUUGGAUAUUUCUCAUUAUAUAGUAUGUUUCUUGAUCUUGGUUUUUGCAUACUAUAUGCUUGGUUGUUUCUUUCUUGCUCAUGUAUUAGUUUGAAAUUUGCCUUUUUUUUAGAGGUCUUAUGAAGCUACUGUUCUGUUUUUGCUUGUGUGAUUUGAUAAUUCAGUUUUGCUUUAGGAUUAGUUAUUCGUGCACUAGUGCUUAGAUUAAAUAAUAUGUUAUCUAUGCCAUUGUUUAUCAUGUAGUUCAAUUAUAUGAGCUUGUAUAAGUAAUUGAACUUUCCAUAGUUGCUUGCACCACUAAAGUUCUCUGUAGGUAAGCUAGAGUAAUUUAUGAAAGUGACCUUUAUGCUAUCUCUCAACUUUUACUUAAACUUAUAAUGAACAGAAGAGUUUAGGCAUUAUGUUAUUUAAGAUUGUCCAACCUACUUGUGGUCUGUUCAUAUAUUUUAAGAUGAGAAUUAAAGUGUUUGCUCGAUAAUGUACUAAAUUCUAGUUCAAGGAAGAUAAACUUAUAUAUGUUCGAUGGGUCUAAUAAGUAUCCCUUGUUUUUUGGCCAAAUUUUUGCAAGGUAUAAUCUUGUUUAAUCCAAUCUUGCAUAUUUUAAAGCUAAAGUUAUCUUUGAUCUAGUAAGUUAAAUAUUAUGAGCAGUACAUCCUUAUGUCUUGCUGACUUAUUAUCUAAUUUACCCUAAAUCCAAAGUUUAUCAAUCUUUUGUAGGAUGUAGAUUAUAUACUAAUAUUCUAUAGACUCUAGUUCUUUUUUACCUGGCUAUAAAUAAUUGAUUCCCAUCAUGUACACAUUUUGUGUGAAUUAGGUAGUAUUUAUUCAUAUGCUUAAAAAUUGAGCUUAACCUUCAGCAUUAUAGGCUGCCAGUUUCAUGAUUAUUAAGUAUGCUUGUGGCAUGUAGGCCUAAUUUUGGUUAAUAAGAAGUUAGAAAGAUUAAUGGCAUAUAUCACUAGCUAUGUGUUGAAGAUCCUGAAAAUGAUUGUCGCUUCAUAAAAUCUGAAAUCAAAUUGUUCACAACUUCACUACCUUACUUUUGUAUGAUAUUAGCUUGUUCUGUUGGUAGUAUUUUUGUCACUUAGCUCUCUGCACCAUAUGACUUCUAAUACAAUAAAAUGUGGAUGUCAUUACAUCUUACUAGUGUGUGAAAAUGUGUUCUACCUCCAACAAUGAUUUUCAAACUUGUCCCUGUAAGUUGUAAGCAUAAAACAUAGAGUAAUAUGUCAAGGAUUUCUGUAUAGUCGCCCUUUUGAAUCAAGUAGCAUCUUUUGUUUUUCUUCCUACCUAACAUACAAUGAAUUUACUCCUUUAAAGGCUACCACUAAAGAAGACUAAAAAAAUUAGGCAGCUUAGAAUUUCAUGCUUGCUGUCAGUUUGCAUGUUUGGGCUGCAUUUUUCCUCCUCUAUAUUAUCACGCCUUUAACUUAUUUUACCUUCAUUGCAUAAGUCAAUUAUUAAUGAUUUGAUUAGGUAUAACUUUUAUGUGAGGUUUGAUGCUCUCUUAUAUGUCUUAGUGCAUAGUGUUAGUUUCUCUAACUGCUUGAUGAUUUUGAAAAUAAAUUCUUGAUUCUUUAAGUUAUGCUCUAAAUAAGUCAAUGCUAAACCGCACUAUUAUUCUGUUUGAGAGAUCAUGUUUAUUUCAGAGCACUUAAUCUGCCGUUCUAAAAUGAGAAUCACAUCAUAGUAUUAAGGAAGUAUUGUAAAUAUAAAUUUUAUACACGCUCUAUAAGGGAGUUAAGUUCAGUUUUUUUUUUAGUAAAUCGCAGCCAUGCUUCCUCUUGUUUAGCUAUUGAUCAUUAGAACUGGAUUAUGAAAACCAAUCGAACUAAAGAAUAUGAACUAUGUGCUUAAGAUAUAAAUUAAUGGACUUACCCUUCAUGUUUAUAAAAUGAAACAAGCCGAUUUUCUUGAAAUGUUAAACUGGGCAGCAUGAGUAUAAUCGUGCAACUGUGCAAGUUAUCCUUAUUUCGCGCUUUAAGUUAUGUGGGAUCUUAUGAUUCAUGUUUCUACUGUUUCUAUCUCCAAGUUAUUACCUGCUAAUAUUUAUUCUUUAUUCGAUAUAUUGAGGAACUGAGAUGAUUACUAUCACAGAUGAACUUCAUAUUACCACUUUCUACUUCUGUCAGCAGUUUAAACAACCUAAAUAGAGCGGGUGGCCAGAAAAACAAGUAAAGAAUUCUUACAAAAACAACUAGAAGAACGUCUUAAUCUUGAGAACUUAUUAAAAGACGAAGAAGAGAUGGGUGAUGAAAGAACCUUGAAGGAGCUAGCUGCACCUAAAUUGGAUGAUGAACCACUUGGCAUUGUUUUUCCAACCUUGGAGAAACCUCUAAAGUUAAACUCAGGUUUUCUCAACCUUUUACCAAAAUUCUAUGGUCGUGGAGGCGAUGAUCCAAAUUGAUUUCUUAAAGAAUUUUUGGUUAUGUGUACUUCUAUGAAACCAUAAGGUAUUGAUCCUAAUCAUGUCAAACUACAUUCCUUUCCAUUUUCAUUGUAUGAUAUAGCGAAAAUUGGUUGUAUUCCCUUCCUCCUAGAUCAAUUACUACGUGGGAUGCACUACAAAAAGCUUUUCUAGAAAAUUUCUUCCCUGCCAGUAGAAUUGGAUCCAUUAGGAAGGAGAUGUGUGGUGUCAAACAACAUUCUAAUGAGUUAUUAUACGAAUAUUGAGAACGUUUCAAGAGACUUUGUGCUUCUUGCCCCCAACAUCAAAUUAGUGACCAACUUCUUAUCCAAUAUUUUUAUGAGGGUCUUUUAGGUGACAAUAAAAAUAUGAUUGAUGCGGCUAGUGGGGGUGCUUUAGUGGAUAAAACACCUAUACUAGCUAGACAACAUUAGUAGAAUAAAUGCUUAUUGCUGCGGUUCUACCUAUACAGAGCAAUAUAUCAUGCAAAAAGAAAUAAAAAAUAGAAAAUAACAAUAUUGUUGCAGUUCCCGCCCAAAACCGCAGCAAUAUUGUUCAACGGAUACAUUUUGAAAAAAAUGUGGGGCCCUGGCCAGCUAAUAUUGUUGCGGUUUCCACGUAGGACCGCAACAAUAUAUUAAAAAAAUAUUUUUUCAAUAUAUUGUUGCGGUCCUACGUGGAAACCGCAGCAAUAUUAGCUGUACUCACCAAAAAAUACGGGGGCGGGUUUCUUUUGGUAAUACGACAUUCUCUUAGUCUCUCACACUCUUUGACACUCUUACCAAAAAACCGGCGAGUUAUUUCCGGCGACUGGGUUUGGCGAUAUUUCUGGCGAUCGGAGUGGGUGACUUUCCGGCCGUUUCUUUACUUUUUUCGUUUUGGGUCCUCAAUUGUUACUCCUCAAUUCGCAUUUUGGGUCUUCGCAUCUCCACCGUUUUUCCUCCUUCUCCACUGACGCCACUCCUUCACCGGCGCCACUUUUUCACCGGCGCUUCUCCUCCCACCUCCGGCGCUUCCCCUCCCACCGGCGAGGGUUUGUCAUAUUAGGUUACACCGACACCUAAAAAACAAAAAGGGAUUUCAGGGGAGGCUGUUAGGUCUUCUACCAGCUGCAUUCAGCCAGUUCGACUUCUCAGUUUAGUCCAGUUAUCGAUGAUCGAUCGUUCUUGGACUCCCUCACUGAAGACUGCAGGG
Molecule: long non-coding RNA, 5237 nt
Organism: Beta vulgaris subsp. vulgaris (sugar beet)
Lineage: Eukaryota; Viridiplantae; Streptophyta; Magnoliopsida; Caryophyllales; Amaranthaceae
Exons: 3
Source: RefSeq, a predicted model, not a curated record